AUUGAACGCUGGCGGCAGGCCUAACACAUGCAAGUCGAACGAUUGGCGGACGGGUGAGUAAUGUCUGGGAAACUGCCCGAUGGAGGGGGAUAACUACUGGAAACGGUAGCUAAUACCGCAUACCAUCGGAUGUGCCCAGAGGGGAUUAGCUGGUAGGUGGGGUAAAUGCUCACCAAGGCGACGAUCCCUAGCUGGUCUGAGAGGAUGACCGGCAAAACUGGAACUGGGACCGGGUCCAGACUCCUAGGGGGGGCAGCGGUGGGGAAUAUUGCACAAUGGGCGAAAGCCUAAUGCACCCCUGCCGCGUGUAUGAAGAAGGCCUUCGGGUUGUAAAGCACUUUCAGCGAGGAGGCGUUACUCGAAGAAGAAGCACCGGCUAACUCCGUGCCAGCAGCCGCGGUAAUUC
RNAcentral lists this ribosomal RNA (406 nucleotides) under uncultured bacterium. RNAcentral's name for it is "partial 16S ribosomal RNA". It matches the Rfam family "Bacterial small subunit ribosomal RNA", at positions 30 to 526 of the family's 1533-position model. The record is from RNAcentral.